CAUUGAUCAUUCAGUUACCGACCGGAAGCAGAGCAUGUAUCAAUGCACAUGAGAAAACAAUACUCUCCUCCUAAUUAACAUGAAAGCAAGAACAGAUUAAGGGUAUACAAAAAUAUUGUUCUUAAGAAAUAAUCUUUGUAAAACCGCAGUCCGUGAAACAUCAGGAAGAAUCAGAAGAUCUCCCGAGAAAGAGAGUGGCGGAUGACUCGCCGUUAUUAUUGGGAAGUCGG
Long non-coding RNA from Frieseomelitta varia, 230 nucleotides. RefSeq lists it as uncharacterized. The transcript is spliced from 3 exons. Lineage: Eukaryota; Metazoa; Arthropoda; Insecta; Hymenoptera; Apidae. The record is from RefSeq and is a predicted model, not a curated record.